RNAcentral lists this ribosomal RNA (448 nucleotides) under uncultured bacterium. Its description in RNAcentral is "bacterial SSU rRNA". It matches the Rfam family "Bacterial small subunit ribosomal RNA", at positions 329 to 793 of the family's 1533-position model. The record is from RNAcentral.
UCCCAGACUCCUACGGGAGGCAGCAGUGGGGAAUAUUGCACAAUGGGGGAAACCCUGAUGCAGCAACGCCGCGUGAGUGAAGAAGCGUCUCGGCGCGUAAAGCUCUGUCAGCGGGGAAGAAAGAAGACGGUACCCGACCAAGAAGCCCCGGCUAACUACGUGCCAGCAGCCGCGGUAAUACGUAGGGGGCGAGCGUUAUCCGGAAUUACUGGGUGUAAAGGGAGCGUAGACGGCGAAGUAAGCCUGAAGUGGAAGCCCGCGGCCCAACCGCGGAACUGCUUUGGGAACUGUUUUGCUGGAGUAUGGGAGGGGUAAGCGGAAUUCCUGGUGUAGCGGUGAAAUGCGUAGAUAUUAGGAGGAACACCAGUGGCGAAGGCGGCCUACUGGACGGUGACUGACGCUGAGGCUCGAAAGCGUGGGGAGCAAACAGGAUUAGAUACCCGGGUAA